This 29-nucleotide non-coding RNA is filed under the name Bombyx mori (domestic silkworm). The record is from RNAcentral. Lineage: Eukaryota; Metazoa; Arthropoda; Insecta; Lepidoptera; Bombycidae.
UUGCUAACAUGUGACAGAGCUACAUAACC